CGCAGGCCCGCGCGGCGCGCCCUGCCGUGAGUCCGCGCCCGACCACCUCGAGGGGCCGCACAGCCGGCUCGCCUAAGCCCUCGGUCCGCGGUCACCUGAACUUCACCUGCCUGUGCGGCGGGAGGGAGUCUCGCAGAGGCUCCUCCUCCGCAGCCCGGCUCCCCGCCGCUCGGCUUCAUCUCCCGCCAGUAGUUUCUGUCCCCUCCCUCUUUCAACUCUCGGACGCCGGGGGUGUCAGGCCGCGGCCCGGCCCCGGCGUACGGCCAGGUGGAGGCGGCUCGGGCGAGCAUAGCGUGGCUAGGAAGUGGCCAUGCCUUGGCGCACCCUGGCUGUCCCGCCUAGGCCUCCAAGAACCCGGGUUUUCUGAAGAGACUCGGGGACCACCGCCCCUGCGGGAGGAGCGCAGCGUUGGCUGGCGAGCUGGCCAAUGGGAGGCGAGGACUGCAGCACAACGUGGAGCGGCUGCAGAACGUAAACACAGCCGGGCGCGCGGCUGGCCAUGUGUGUUCCCGCGCGCCACCUAGUCCCCUGGGACCACCGGCAGCCGGCUGUGGCACCCCAGGGCAGCCAUGCUCAGGGAUGCCUGUCGUGCACUUUGCUCCAGCCCGCCGACCGAGGUACCUGGUCACUGGUCAACUGGGACUAAAAAGAACAUGUGCUUACCUUUCAGAUGGAGGGAACUUCCCAUCUUGCUCUGGCUAGUUGUAUGACAGUGUGAGCUUUGGAGCUGUGGCAGCCAUCCUGUGACCAGGAGGGCACAAGCUGUGGAUGAAAGCCAAGGUACUGAAGAUGGCAGAGGAAGAAGAUGAAAAGUGAUUCAGUCCUUGAAGACAUCAUUAUGUCACUCUAGCUAUGCCACCCUAUGUUUGGAACUUUAUGUUGUAUGAAAUUAACACAUUUUCCUUAUUCCUUAAGCUGUUUUGAUUUGCUUAAUCCCUGGGUUAACAUCAGCCCAGAAAUCAGGAAAGAAAAUACAGCUGUCCUUCGUAUCUGUGUGGGAUUGGUUCAGGACCCUGCCACUCCCCCACCUCCCCAAUCACAGAUAACAAAAUCUGAGGAUGCUCAGAUUGUGUAUAACCUACACACAUCUUCCUGUGCACUUUAAAUCAUCUCUAGAUUCCUUAUAUUACCUAAUACAAUGUAAAUGCUGGUGCAUGGCAAAUUCAAUUUUUGCAUUUUGAAAUUUUCUGGAAUUUUUUUUCAAAUAUUUUUGCUCCACGGUUGGUUGAAUCUGUGGCUUCAGAACCGUGGAUAUGGAAGGCUGACUGUAAAUAACUCCCCAACUUAGAUUAUUUCUCCU
This is a non-coding RNA of Globicephala melas (long-finned pilot whale), 1300 nucleotides long. NCBI's taxonomy places the organism in Eukaryota, Metazoa, Chordata, Mammalia, Artiodactyla, Delphinidae. The record is from RefSeq and is a predicted model, not a curated record.